This 460-nucleotide ribosomal RNA is filed under the name uncultured bacterium. RNAcentral's name for it is "partial 16S ribosomal RNA". It matches the Rfam family "Bacterial small subunit ribosomal RNA", at positions 338 to 795 of the family's 1533-position model. The record is from RNAcentral.
CCUACGGGAGGCAGCAGUGAGGAAUAUUGGUCAAUGGACGCAAGUCUGAACCAGCCAUGCCGCGUGCAGGAAGACGGCUCUAUGAGUUGUAAACUGCUUUUGUACGAGGGUAAACGCAGAUACGCGUAUAUGUCUGCCAGUAUCGUACGAUUAAGGAUCGGCUAACUCUGUGCCAGCAGCCGCGGUAAUACGGAGGAUUCAAGCGUUAUCCGGAUUUAUUGGGUUUAAAGGGUGCGUAGGCGGUCGGAUAAGUUAGAGGUGAAAUCCCGAGGCUCAACUUCGGAAUUGCCUCUGAUACUGUACGGCUAGAGAGUAGUAGCGGUAGGCGGAAUGUAUGGUGUAGCGGUGAAAUGCGUAGAGAUCAGAUAGAACACCGGUUGCGAAGGCAGCUUACCAGGCUACAUCUGACGUUGAGGCACGAAAGCGUGGGGAGCAAACAGGAUUAGAUACCCCGGUAGUC